This 253-nucleotide ribosomal RNA is filed under the name uncultured bacterium. RNAcentral's name for it is "partial 16S ribosomal RNA". It matches the Rfam family "Bacterial small subunit ribosomal RNA", at positions 524 to 776 of the family's 1533-position model. The record is from RNAcentral.
UACGAGGGGUGCAAGCGUUGCUCGGAAUCAUUGGGCGUAAAGGGUAGGUAGGUGGUCUCAUUUGUCUGGGGUGAAAGCCUUGAGCUUAACUCAAGAAGUGCCCCGGAAACGGUGAGACUAGAGUACUGGAAAGGGUCGUGGAAUUCCCGGUGUAGCGGUGAAAUGCGCAGAUAUCAGGAGGAACACCGGUGGCGAAGGCGGGUCUCUGGGCAGUAACUGACGCUGAGGAGCGAAAGCGUGGGGAGCGAACAGG